This 979-nucleotide ribosomal RNA is filed under the name uncultured fungus. RNAcentral describes it as "eukaryotic LSU rRNA". The stretch from base 329 to 979 matches the Rfam family "Eukaryotic large subunit ribosomal RNA", at positions 1 to 667 of the family's 3401-position model. Lineage: Eukaryota; Fungi. The record is from RNAcentral.
AUUAGUUAAAACUUUCAACAACGGAUCUCUUGGUUCCGGUAUCGAUGAAGAACGCAGCGAAAUGCGAUAAAUAAUGUGAAUUGCAAAAUUCAGUGAAUCAUCGAGUCUUUGAACGCACAUUGCGCCCCCUGGUAUUCCGGGGGGCAUGCCUGUCCGAGCGUCAUUGCUGCCCUCAAGCCCGGCUUGUGUGUUGGGUCCUAGUCCUUAGGGACAGGCCCGAAAGGCAAUGGCAGUACCGCGUCCGGUCCUCGAGCGUAUGGGGCUUUGUCACCCGCUCUGUAGGCCCGGCCGGCGCUCCGCCGACCAACCAAAAAACUAUUUUUCAGGUUGACCUCGGAUCAGGUAGGGAUACCCGCUGAACUUAAGCAUAUCAAUAAGCGGAGGAAAAGAAACCAACAGGGAUUGCCUCAGUAACGGCGAGUGAAGCGGCAAGAGCUCAAAUUUGAAAGCUGGGCCUUUCAGGUCCCGCAUUGUAAUUUGCAGAGGAUGCUUCGGGAGUGGUCCCCAUCUAAGUGCUCUGGAACGGGCCGUCAUAGAGGGUGAGAAUCCCGUAUGGGAUGGGGUGUCCACGCCCGUGUGAAGCUCCUUCGACGAGUCGAGUUGUUUGGGAAUGCAGCUCUAAAUGGGUGGUAAAUUUCAUCUAAAGCUAAAUAUUGACCGGAGACCGAUAGCGCACAAGUAGAGUGAUCGAAAGAUGAAAAGCACUUUGAAAAGAGAGUUAAAAAGCACGUGAAAUUGUUGAAAGGGAAGCGCUUGCGACCAGACUCGCCUCUAGGGUUCAGCGUGCAUUCGUGCAUGUGUACUUCCCUUGGGGCGGGCCAGCGUCGGUUUGGGCGGCCGGUAAAAGGCUCUCGGAAUGUAACGCCUCUCGGGGCGUCUUAUAGCCGGGGGUGCCAUGCGGCCAGCUCAGACCGAGGAACGCGCUUCGGCUCGGACGCUGGCAUAAUGGUCGUAAACGACCCGUCUUGAAACACGGACC